Molecule: long non-coding RNA, 6540 nt
Organism: Aquila chrysaetos chrysaetos
Lineage: Eukaryota; Metazoa; Chordata; Aves; Accipitriformes; Accipitridae
Exons: 3
Source: RefSeq, a predicted model, not a curated record
GGCGGGGCGGGGCGGGGCCGGGCCCGGGCCCGGGGGACGCGACCCGCCCGGCGAGGCUGGUGUCGCCGGCGGGCCGCCCUCCCUGGCUGGCACCGUGGGUGCUGGCGGGAGAGGCCGGGGCGGCUCCUGACGGAAGGCUGGGCAGGGGCCACGUAGGGCUCAGCUGAGGGCGUCCCUCGGGAUCCGGGUCAGGCGGUCACCCGUACGUCGGUUCGCGGGGCAACUUGCAUCUGUGUGUCAGUAACGGCUUCGGCAAAAAUAAGACCCGCCCUGCGUCCCUGCAGCUUUGAGCAGGUGGGAGAAGAACCCGGGUCUUCACGGCCAGCCGGGAGCCUCGUGCACCCAGUUAACAACAGCCUAAUAACUCGCGGUGGGUCGCUGGGCGCGGACGAGCUGUCAGUAACGCUCACCGGAGGAGGCUAAUCGCGCUGCGUACCUGGCGGCCUCGGCUUUUCCUGAAUUCCGGGCCUUCAAGACUCCCGUAAGUGAAUACGUGACCUGAAGGACUUAGCUGACCCGUAUACUUCACCGAGUUUCACUGAAGCACUGGGACAUCUUCGGCACAUCCCAAAGCGUUUAGUACUUUCGUAACCCCCUCGUGAGGAAGCGCGGCUCAGCUGCGAGUGGAAAAGAGCCGCUCGGAGGUCAGGUGCCGCAGCUAAAGGUCACAAAGCUGUUCCAUGGUGGAGCUGAGGAGGAACCCUCAUCUGCCGGCCCCGGUCCGCCAUGUCAACUUUACCAAACCACACAGGGCUGUUUUUUAAAGAACUCGUUCCAGUGGUCACAAUUCUUUCCGGACACUAAAAUAUGUAGUUAUGCAGUUCACUGAGACCCACCAAAAGAUAUACUUGUUCUGGAAAGUAGUUGUUCAUCACAGGGCGCAUUCAUUUUCUUUUUUAAAAGCACUUGUAGGUUAUGGAUGAAGUCAGUAAAAGCAGGCACAUCGAUUAGAAAGUCAGAAGACCUCUCACAUACAUUUGCAACAAACCCUGCGUUGAGGGCUAAAAAUGGAGUGGUUUACACGGCUGUUUUCUCAGGUAUGUUCUGUAUCGCGCCCUGCAUCCGUGACUUACCUGUUCGUUUGGGUUCCUAUUCCAGAAUGCAAGUGCAGGAGGAGGAAUCAGAGUGUAUUUUAAAAAACAACAACCCCAAAAAACUCCAACCCAAACCAAAAAAAGCUAUAGAGAGAUAGGAAGAGAGAUGUGGGCACAGCUUGGACACAGCACAAUAAAUGCGAAUCAUUAACAGGCAAAGAAAGGAGGAAGGGUUAGAGGGGAGGGCAAAGUUUAUAGUGAUAUACGCAGAGGAGCAAUCCAGAAAAUGGUAUUCUUUGGGAAGGCAGACCUUUUAAAACACAUUUUUGGAAGGGAUUUAAACUAGGAAAAGGACUUGACUAGUUUGGAGGAGUUUAAGUGCAGCCAAAAAGUGUCCAGCAGGGAAAAGGCAAAGAAUAAGUCAAUACUAGUUCCACAUAGAACUAUGUAUUUUAUCUAUGUUCUUAGACGUCUCCUGAUGGUAAUACCUAUACAAGAGUGAUGUAACUGGCGCAUCAGUUAGUGCCACCUCAUCUACAUUCAUCUUCCCAGCUGAGUUUUUGUUUUGGUAGGUAGGGGAUGUUUUUAAUAUUCUUACUGGGAGUAAGAGAACAGAUGGACUAUUUAAGAGGGGAGGACAGUCGCAUAGGACAGGAAAAAGAACUUCAGUCUGACAUGCAAUUAGCUGGGGGCACUGUCAGCUAUUUUAAAAACAUAUGGAGGGAGGGAGGAUUUCCUGCUCAUAUAGAGGAAGCAACACUUGAAAACAGAAACAUAAACUUCAUCCUCUCGUAUCUACUGGAAAAAAAAAAGAGUGGCACACUGUUUGGGUGAGUGCAAGACUGAACUGUGUAGUCACUGUAUACAAAAUGAGAAAAAAUUGAUGGAUGAACGUUUUAUACAGUGUUUUCACUACCACUGGUGAUAUUAAUGCAGAACGAGAAAACUGAUGCCAUAGCUCAAUGUAUUUUUAGUAUAGUGCUACAUGAAACAGCAGUCCUGUUUUGUCUGGAGAGGCAAAAUGUAAAAAAGCUAACAUAAAAUUUCCUUCUACCUCAUUAACAUUUCUCUACACUCAGUUUUAAUACUUGGAUUCUUAACCUUGUACGGCUCCAUACGCACAUUUCAUAGAUUACUAGAGUAACAAUUCAUGUUUUGUUCUCCAAAGAUAAAAAGGCAGCACAAAACACAUGUCCAGCCCUGAGUUCCCCUUAAUUCCACCUGUGAGGCACAUCUACCGCAUUUCUUUUUUUUUUCCUCCAUGUUUUCUUUUCAGCACAGUUCAUAGUUGGAUGUAGACAAAAUCAGGUGUUAUCCCUAUGACGCAGAUAAACCGGAGCAGGAAAGACACCCAUCUCCGCCUUGUCUUUUAGAGUGCAAAAAAUACUGGCUACCUCUUCUCUCCUCUGGUGCUCCCAUUUCCUCUCCCUCUCUGAUGCACCCUCUAUCACCAGGCAUCAGCAGCAGGGUUGGAUUCCGCUCCUGCAGGGAGAGAAUGAGAUUAUUUCCUCCUCCAUCUCCUCUUCCUCUUCCCCCACUGCUGCCAACUCCUGCAGCAGUCGGUGUUUUUUCUUAAAGCUUCAGGUGCAGGAAUUAUGUGAUUACACAGGAAUUUCUUCUUCCAUUGAGAAUAAAAUGUCCCUAGCUACUGAAAACUCAGCACAACAGAAGACAAAUACAAAUAAUGAUCCACCUUUGGAUGUAGGGAAAAGGUUGCUGUGAUUUCUGAAUGCUUGAACUUGACAAUAUGGUCCCUGUCCUGGCUCCUCUUACAUGCAGCGGCACUCAGUGCCAGGUAUAGUUAACAAUCUGUAGCCAUCCAGCCAGAGCACCCAGCCGUUGCGGUGGGAGGAAAGAAUCAGUCUAAAUUGCAUUUUUGUCUGAGCUACUUGGGGCAGGAAUGCCCAUGCACAGGGCAGAGGCAUGAGAAAAGGAAAAUGAAGGUUGUGACAGCUCUGGAUCCCUUGUGCCCACAAUGCUGUAGAAAUACUAGAGCCCCAAUAGUCCCUCUUUUUAGUAAAAUGACCUGUAUAAAUAGGAGCUUGUGGAAGUAAUAUCAAUUGAUACUCUGAUCGUCAGACCUUUUUCAUUGCUGUAUACUUUGGAGCUAUCACUGUUCCUGCCCAGUUGACAGAAAUACUGAUAACCAGCUGGAGGAAUGAUUCAUAAUUAUGAAAAGCCCAGAGGUGGUGGGAGGAAAAACAUCUCUGCCUUAACUCACAUGGAGCAGUCGCCUCUCACCUAUAUUUACUGAAUGGUUUGCUGGAUCAAAACAACUGGGGCAGAAAUAAGGUCCCAACUUUUUAGUAUGGAUUCGUUUGGUUUCAGAAGAAGAGUGAGUUUAAGUAUAAUUUCUACAGAGAAUAGUUACAGAAUAGAUCUCAUACUCAUGCUAAGUUGUUUACACAACGUUAAUGGAAACAGCAGCUCAAAGCACUAUAUAAAGGUAUCACAAGUAAGUAAAAUUAAAUUGGGGUUGUUUUACAAAAUCAAAGGUAGAAGGAAAGAGCAAGAGAAAAUUCAGUCUUGGCUUAGGAGUGUCCAGCAAUAUACGAUAAGGUCCUUUCAGUCCAAUGCUAGAAUGUUUUUACCUCCAAAAAAUCUAGACUGGAUGGGCAGAGACUAAAAGAAAAUGACUGUGAACUAAGUAUCUGAGCUACUAAAUAAGGACUAUUGAAGAGAAUAUUCAAACAUGAGCGUUACUAGCCACCUGCAUGCUUGCUCGACAUUAACUGGUAAAGAAAACUCAAAAGUUUUAAGUAUCUGCAACAGGAUAGGGACUUUUUACUGUUAGGAAAUGUGCCCAAGUACAGCCCAGGUUAGAAAUUACUUGGGCUCAUUAUGUGAUAGAUAUUGAGUUGUGUAUUAAUCACACCCAUUGCAGUUCCUGCUAUCCAUAUGUCAUGGAUCAUCACUAAAACCUGAAGGAUGAGUUGGAGGCUGAGGGUAAGGCAUCUGUGGAAUUUAUCAUUUCUCAUUACAUAUCUCUGGAUUCGAGAAGAGACAUGGGGUUUCCCUCUGCAGAUAAACAGGAGGCGGUAGUUCCCAGAAGAGUGAACCAGUCAGCAGCGAUAAGACUAUAUCAACUUUAAAACGCAACAGUCCAAAUACUAAAGUGGGAUAAAGUGGUCUGCGUACCAUGCAGGGAGGUUAAAAAUACGCAUAUCAUGUGCUGUUACUGGUGGUUACCAAACGGGGAGAUUCUUUUUUAUUAACUCUUUCAAAAUUAAUGCUCUCGUCGUUGUUGUUUGUUGCAUUUGCAAGGAGUUUUUGUUCCCAGAUAUUUAUUCUCAGCCCUGUAGUUCUUGUGUAAGUAGUCUUCCCCAAAUGUGGUCGUAGCUUUAUGCAAAGAUUAAGAGUGUUUUCAGGCUGCUUGGCUUGCUAGUUGUUCUUGUCAGUCACCUUCCAGCUUCCCAAACAUGCUCAUGUUCUUGUGAUUUCUGGACACAUUGUCCUCCGGCAGCCCCCAGUUUUGCUGAGCUUCCCCUGGCUGGUAGCCAUUUUGUCAAGAGUGAAGACUCGCAGUCUUCAAGAGGAAGAUUUCCUGCUAACCCCUGGAGAAGCACUUUCCGUUUGUCAAAUGUCUUUCAUCACCCUCCCAGCUCUGCGAGGGGGUGGUGAUCUCCCCCUUGUCAUCCAAGAGCAGCAAGAAGGAAAGUGGUCUCUUGAGACUGCACUCCAGCACUGUCUGAGACGCCUCCAAACGUGUGCCUGCAUUUUCUGUUUCAUUGACAAUGUUGUCUCACGCACUUUGGGGAUGAGAGAACCACAAGUCAAGGCAGAGGCCUUUCCCACCAGGGCAAAAGGGGCAGGACUCUUAGACAGACAAAACCCUAGCAAACUCUUUCACUGCUUUCAAAGCAAGUGACAACACAUUUGAAAAAAAAAAGCAUUUGACCCAUUUAAAAUAAAUCCUGUUUACUUUGCUUGCCUGAAUAGAGUUGCUAAUGUUAGCAGGAGGAAGAUGAGCAGAAUGUGGCACUACUCGCUUCCCUCUGCAUUUGAAUUUUCUGUAACACAUGCAUUUUUCACUUAGAAGUUGACAGACCUUUACAAAAAGAAUUUUUUUUUUCCUCAUAAAAACCAGAAAACCCAUAGAUGAUGGGCUGGCAGUAGUGACCAGCAUGGAAUAAUUACCCCUAUAACACAGUUAAGAGCAUACAGAAGGAUCUGCAGGAUCCAUGUCAUGCAUAUACAGGAAUGAACGGGCUCUGGACCUGUUCAUUUGGUAGCCAGACCACUGCAGUAGUGAUGCUGUUGGUACUGAGGGCCUUCAAACAGGUCGUCUGUCAAGAUGCUUUUGAGUCCCUAAUUAUAUGCAACCAAGUUUGAUCUUCACCUCUAGGAAACUGUGUUCGUGUACCUGCCACUCUUUCUUUCUUGGGGCUGGCUCUUAAUUCUAAGAUUUGUAGCUUGCAAUUUCUUUUUCCAGGUUCAGCCUUUCUGUGGUCCUCAAAAAUGGGGAAGGAAAUGCCUUUUUAAUUUUGUUGCCGUUAAGAUCCCUGAUCUUGUUUAGGACUUCAGCCACCAUUGGCUCAAGAAUGUGGGGAUAUGUCCUGGAUCAGACAUAACAUUGUUGGAAGUGAAACAGUAACUACGGAUAUCAUCUGCUCAGGAUACUGUGUCAGUGCUACCCCGUGGCUUUGCUAUUGCCAGCCAGGUUUGCAGAAGCAAUAGGAAAGUUAGCAAAGCAAAGCAACCAGGGCUCAGUUAUUUUUAUUACACUCCAUUUCCUCGCAGCUGAUCAAAAUAGUCAAUACCUUCCAAAUCCGACCAGCUUGACAUGCAAGUGAAAGCUGAACACCAAGCAAUGCUGGGGCAGUGUCUUCUGGUUAGUAUGCGAUCCUCUUUGUCAUGCCCUGUUUCAGCAGCAAGAACAUACGGCCCAGUGUUCAUGCUCAAACCAGAAGAUCUCAACCAGUUUUAACAUCUCCAAAACCCUAAGGCAAGACCCCAAGGAAGAUGUUGUGCAGGGCAGUGGGGUCACAUACAGCCAGGAAGCCCCUGGGACAGCAGAGGCUGUGGUCGGGGCCCCACUGGGUUGCUGUGGAGCAGGAGGACCAAGCUGCUGAGAGCUGCUGAGCUGAGCUCAGCCUUCAGCCCCGGGCAGUCCUCGGGGGUCCUGACCCUCUCCCAGCCUCGGUGUCCUGCCAGGGCCGUGUCUCUGCUGCUUACCUCCCCACAGAGAGCUCCGAGGCCAGGGGACAGCAAACCACCCAGCCCCUGCAAGCUCAACCAUUGCAAGGAGGAGACAGAUGGUCUUAUUCGAGGAGCUAUUACUGGUACCAGUAAGCAUACUGCGGUGGCUGCUCCCUGGCUACUUAUCCUGUGUCUGCUCAUGAAAAAGACCACUGAAACUACUCUUGGGCCAUUAACUUUGCCUGGUGCUCCAAGACUGGGAUUUGGGUUUUUUUUUGUUAAAGACGGUUUUCCAAAGGGGCAGAUAAUUGCUGUUCAUUCUUGAAAUUAAAAAAAAAAAAAAAAAAAAUCUUUCUUGCUACAUAUA